CGCAGCAGGGCCCGGGGCCGCCCGCGGCUCCCGCGCCCUCGCUCUCAGACCGCUGACAGAAACGUGCCGUAUCCCAGGUUCCCCCCCCCCCCAAAUUGUGACUGAAACGUGCCCCCGUUCAGGGUUUUUUUCCCCCUCAAACUAACUCGGCCUGUCCUUUAUUCUGGUAGAACCGAGGAGCAGGAUGGUGGAGGAGGACAGGGAGUGACAGCGUCAGCUCCCUGCGACGGGAGCCGCGCUCUCGCAGGGCACCGAUCCCCGGGAGAGCUCGCCGCCGCUCCGCGGGAAGAGCUCCGAG
Molecule: long non-coding RNA, 298 nt
Filed under: Apteryx rowi (Okarito brown kiwi)
Lineage: Eukaryota; Metazoa; Chordata; Aves; Apterygiformes; Apterygidae
Description: lncRNA (ENSARWG00000009954.1)
Source: RNAcentral